This 433-nucleotide ribosomal RNA is filed under the name uncultured bacterium. Its description in RNAcentral is "partial 16S ribosomal RNA". It matches the Rfam family "Bacterial small subunit ribosomal RNA", at positions 29 to 507 of the family's 1533-position model. The record is from RNAcentral.
AACGAACGCUGGCGGCAUGCCUAACACAUGCAAGUCGAACGAGACCUUCGGGUCUAGUUGCGCACGGGCGCGUAACGCGGGGGAACCUGCCCUUAGGUUCGGAAUAACUCCCCGAAAGGUGUGCUAAUACCGGAUAAGCUCUUCGGACCAAAGAUCUAUCGCCGUUGGGUGGGCGCGGGUUGGUUUAGGCAGUUGGUAGGGUAAAAGCAUACCAAGGCGACGAUCCAUAGCUGGUCUGAGAGGAUGAUCAUCCACACUGGGACUGAGACACGGACCAGACUGGUACGGAAGGGAGCAGUGGGGAAUAUUGGACGAGGGACGAAGGCCUGAUAAAGCCAUGCCGGGGGAGUGAUGCAGGCGUUAGGGUUGUAAAGCUGUUUUACACGGGAUGAGAGUGACAGUACCGGGAAAAUAAGCUCCGGCUAACUACGUG